UCCGUAGGCGGGCAGCUAAGUCAGUGGUGAAAUCUUACAGCUCAACUGUAAAAUUGCCAUUGAUACUGGAUGUCUUGAAUUAGUGUGAAGUGGUUAGAAUGUGUAGUGUAGCGGUGAAAUGCAUAGAUAUUACACAGAAUACCAAUUGCGAAGGCAGAUCACUAACACUAUAUUGACGCUGAGGGACGAAAGCGUGGGGAGCGAACAGGAUUAGAUACCCUGGUAGUCC
RNAcentral lists this ribosomal RNA (229 nucleotides) under uncultured bacterium. RNAcentral describes it as "partial 16S ribosomal RNA". It matches the Rfam family "Bacterial small subunit ribosomal RNA", at positions 568 to 796 of the family's 1533-position model. The record is from RNAcentral.